GACGAACGCUGGCGGCGUGCUUAACACAUGCAAGUCGAACGGAAAGGCCCUGCUUUUGUGGGGUGCUCGAGUGGCGAACGGGUGAGUAAUACGUGAGUAACCUGCCCUUGACUUUGGGAUAACUUCAGGAAACUGGGGCUAAUACCGGAUAGGAGCUCCUGCUGCAUGGUGGGGGUUGGAAAGUUUCGGCGGUUGGGGAUGGACUCGCGGCUUAUCAGCUUGUUGGUGGGGUAGUGGCUUACCAAGGCUUUGACGGGUAGCCGGCCUGAGAGGGUGACCGGCCACAUUGGGACUGAGAUACGGCCCAGACUCCUACGGGAGGCAGCAGUGGGGAAUAUUGCACAAUGGGCGGAAGCCUGAUGCAGCAACGCCGCGUGCGGGAUGACGGCCUUCGGGUUGUAAACCGCUUUCGCCUGUGACGAAGCGUGAGUGACGGUAAUGGGUAAAGAAGCACCGGCUAACUACGUGCCAGCAGCCGCGGUGAUACGUAGGGUGCGAGCGUUGUCCGGAUUUAUUGGGCGUAAAGGGCUCGUAGGUGGUUGAUCGCGUCGGAAGUGUAAUCUUGGGGCUUAACCCUGAGCGUGCUUUCGAUACGGGUUGACUUGAGGAAGGUAGGGGAGAAUGGAAUUCCUGGUGGAGCGGUGGAAUGCGCAGAUAUCAGGAGGAACACCAGUGGCGAAGGCGGUUCUCUGGGCCUUUCCUGACGCUGAGGAGCGAAAGCGUGGGGAGCGAACAGGCUUAGAUACCCUGGUAGUCCACGCUGUAAACGGUGGGUACUAGGUGUGGGGUCCAUUCCACGGGUUCCGUGCCGUAGCAAACGCUUUAAGUACCCCGCCUGGGGAGUACGGCCGCAAGGCUAAAACUCAAAGGAAUUGACGGGGCCCCGCACAAGCGGCGGAGCAUGCGGAUUAAUUCGAUGCAACGCGUAGAACCUUACCUGGGUUUGACAUGGAUCGGGAGCGCUCAGAGAUGGGUGUGCCUCUUUUGGGGUCGGUUCACAGGUGGUGCAUGGCUGUCGUCAGCUCGUGUCGUGAGAUGUUGGGUUAAGUCCCGCAACGAGCGCAACCCUUGUUCACUGUUGCCAGCACGUUAUGGUGGGGACUCAGUGGAGACCGCCGGGGUCAACUCGGAGGAAGGUGGGGAUGACGUCAAGUCAUCAUGCCCCUUAUGUCCAGGGCUUCACGCAUGCUACAAUGGCUGGUACAGAGAGUGGCGAGCCUGUGAGGGUGAGCGAAUCUCGGAAAGCCGGUCUCAGUUCGGAUUGGGGUCUGCAACUCGACCUCAUGAAGUCGGAGUCGCUAGUAAUCGCAGAUCAGCAACGCUGCGGUGAAUACGUUCCCGGG
Molecule: ribosomal RNA, 1343 nt
Filed under: uncultured bacterium
Lineage: Bacteria
Description: 16S ribosomal RNA
Rfam family: Bacterial small subunit ribosomal RNA
Source: RNAcentral